AUUUAUGCCAUCUGCUGUGUUUUGAAUUGUAUCCCCCCAAAAGAUGCAGCUCCAGGGUGCUGGGGUUUCAUAAUCACUCUGGGUUCCUGAUGGACUGAAGCCCCUGCUGGCACGUGAUGGACAGGUACCAGGAAACUCACGGUUUAUCUCUAGUGCUCAUCCACUGGCCGUUUCAUACAGAUUGGAGGAAGUGAUAAACUCAGAUAGCAGAGUCGGGUACAACAAGGAGGACACCAUUUGGUGCCCAUGUGGUUGCUGUGCUUGUUAUGGCUUCUAAAUGGAAAAUGCUUUAUUUCUAGGAACUACAAAAGCUAGUGAAAUGCAGGGUAAAGGGAGUGCUGCUGUAAUCUGGUGUAGCAGAAGGAAUGACCACCUAGUUUCGCUCUCCAACUACAAACACAGUGGGGAUCUUGUGAUGUAAGGUAAGACAUGAUGAGCACCAAACUAUAACUCACUGGACUCUGGGUUCCUCAUUUGAUCUAAAAAUUAU
Molossus molossus (Pallas's mastiff bat) is the source of this 490-nucleotide long non-coding RNA. RefSeq lists it as uncharacterized. The record is from RefSeq and is a predicted model, not a curated record. Lineage: Eukaryota; Metazoa; Chordata; Mammalia; Chiroptera; Molossidae. The transcript has 4 exons.